UGCUUAACAGAGAGAGGCUCCGCCCAGCAAUUAGACACAGGUGGAGCAGAUUAGGACAGAGCAGGUAAUCAGACAGGUGGGCUGGACCUGAGAGAGGACAUGGGAUGGAGGGGGAGAGCAGUAGCCUACAGGAGUGAAGCAUGCAUAAAAAACAGCACAAUAACCCCUCCACCUCCACCACCACCAGCAGUGUUGCUCUGAAGCACGUCAGAGGAAGCGGGCUAUGAAUCGAGGUGCACAGCGGGGUAAAGAAAACAUUUCUUGGGGACACAGCUAGGGGACAGUGCCGGUCUCCUGACUCGGGACUGACACUCCCCUCCCCUCCACGCACACAAACUAACAUCCCGGAAAGCUUCAAGUCCACAUCGCGCUGCAGGGGAAAACAUCUGAGGUAAUUAUGCAGAGUUUUUUGCACUUCUCUGCUCGCUUUGAAACAAUGUGAGCCGAAUAAGGGAGGGAGUGGAGGCGGUGGCGGAGGUAAUGGUGGUGAGGAUGUCAACUCAGUGGUAAAGUCAAGAGGCACGUGUUUGUUUUUGAAGUGGGGG
Long non-coding RNA from Oreochromis aureus, 545 nucleotides. Lineage: Eukaryota; Metazoa; Chordata; Actinopteri; Cichliformes; Cichlidae. The record is from Ensembl.